Molecule: long non-coding RNA, 535 nt
Filed under: Sorghum bicolor (sorghum)
Lineage: Eukaryota; Viridiplantae; Streptophyta; Magnoliopsida; Poales; Poaceae
Description: long non-coding RNA (SBIC_LNC008052)
Source: RNAcentral
CGGGGUUACCAUAAGUUUGUUCACAUGGGGCUUUUAGUGUUUUAUGAUGCAGUAAAUAAGCAGUAAAUUUUUUUUUGUUUUAUAUUUAAUGUGCUAAGAAGAAUGGAUGUGUUACUAAAUGUGUUGAAGUAAAAUUACUAAUGAAUAAUAGGUUAAUAAGAUAACUACCAUAUUACCUUGUGGCAAGGGUACAAAAUUUAAAGUUUGCCGACAAAACUUCUUCUUCCACUCUUGUGUACCUCUCCAUCUUAAAGACGAAAGUCUUUGAUGGUUGCAUCCUCUAGUAAUGGUGAUGUCACUUUGUUCUUUGGCUUGGCCAGCAGAUUGAAGUAGAUCUUUAAUAGCAGCUGGCAGCAUCUUGCUUAGUGUGUAUGCUCACAACACUUUCACUUGUAGGAUUAACAAUUUUGCUCGAAGUGUUAUACUAUUUACAAAACUAAGGUUGAGAUCAAGUGUAUGGGCUCUGCUGGUGGACAAACACCAACAAAACCAAAUAUAUCUCUUUAUUUAUUUUUUUCUCUAUCCUUAGGCACAU